Molecule: small RNA, 857 nt
Filed under: Rattus norvegicus (Norway rat)
Lineage: Eukaryota; Metazoa; Chordata; Mammalia; Rodentia; Muridae
Description: uncharacterized LOC102551339
Source: RNAcentral
UGGGGUGGGUCUUUCAAGCUCAUUCUCUUCAGGGAUCUUCAGCACACCAAUUCUGUAGUCACAAUCAACUACAAUCGUGAGUAGGCUGACUUGAGAUGGCCACAUCUUCAAGAGUGAUGUUGUUGGUCCUGAAGAAGAGUCCGGUACUCUGAUGCCUCUGGGGCUGAGAGCUCAGGGUGUGGGCACUACCGAGUUCCUCAGCAGCAUCUGCUGUCUCUUCUGCUCAUGGAACAGCUAUUUUCUUACUUUGACUGUGUGAUUGCAUGAGGCAAGCUGCUCCACGGAACCACCCAGAAGACAUGCUCUGGAAUCAGGUUGACGAUCUCCAAAUGUUAGUUUACAUUCUCAGGUUCAUCCAAACGUUAUCUACCCAAGGGGUCUUGAGAAGAACGAGGAGACAGUGGACAGAGCCUUCUUAUACUCUGACCUGGCCAAGAGAGAGGAUCCUGGUGGGCAGAUUUCUCAUCUAUGAGGCCAAUCUGAUCGUCAAACUGAUAUCACGGAUGACACUGCCCAUGCUCAGGGUAGACCUUAUCCUUGUCUCAGUCACCUCUGCUCAGGAGUGCCCCCACAGGCGUGCUCAGAGCUUGGCUCCUAGGGGUUUCUAAAUACCUGUAAGUUGACAGUUGGAAUUCAUCAAUGCAACUUUACUUCUUGUCAUUUCGAUACCCAAAUGCCGUACCUUUAAAUCAUAUUUUUUUAUCCCUGGUUCCUAAAGCCCAUGUUCACCUCAUAAAACAUUGUGUAUUUUGUCCAUCUCUAGAAGUCUCUAGAGACUUAAUGAUUUCAUUGCACUGUUCUAAAGUUUGAGAAAAAAAAUUCUACUGAGAUUUGGGCAACCUUUUAACUGUGAGCUC